UACGAAGGGGGCGAGCGUUGUUCGGAAUUACUGGGCGUAAAGGGCGCGCAGGCGGCUCUGAAAGUCAGAUGUGAAAGCCCCGGGCUUAACCUGGGAACUGCAUUUGAUACUCUAGAGCUUGAGUACGGGAGAGGAGAGUGGAAUUCCCAGUGUAGAGGUGAAAUUCGUAGAUAUAUGGAAGAACACCAAUAACGGCGAAGGCAGUUAACUAUUCUGCUACUGACAUUGAGGCACGAAAGCGUGGGGAGCAAAACGG
This 256-nucleotide ribosomal RNA is filed under the name uncultured bacterium. Its description in RNAcentral is "partial 16S ribosomal RNA". It matches the Rfam family "Bacterial small subunit ribosomal RNA", at positions 524 to 776 of the family's 1533-position model. The record is from RNAcentral.